UUUAUGGAGAGUUUGAUCCUGGCUCAGGAUGAACGCUGGCGGCGUGCCUAAUACAUGCAAGUCGAGCGAACGGACGAGAAGCUUGCUUCUCUGAUGUUAGCGGCGGACGGGUGAGUAACACGUGGAUAACCUACCUAUAAGACUGGGAUAACUUCGGGAAACCGGAGCUAAUACCGGAUAAUAUUUUGAACCGCAUGGUUCAAAAGUGAAAGACGGUCUUGCUGUCACUUAUAGAUGGAUCCGCGCUGCAUUAGCUAGUUGGUAAGGUAACGGCUUACCAAGGCAACGAUGCAUAGCCGACCUGAGAGGGUGAUCGGCCACACUGGAACUGAGACACGGUCCAGACUCCUACGGGAGGCAGCAGUAGGGAAUCUUCCGCAAUGGGCGAAAGCCUGACGGAGCAACGCCGCGUGAGUGAUGAAGGUCUUCGGAUCGUAAAACUCUGUUAUUAGGGAAGAACAUAUGUGUAAGUAACUGUGCACAUCUUGACGGUACCUAAUCAGAAAGCCACGGCUAACUACGUGCCAGCAGCCGCGGUAAUACGUAGGUGGCAAGCGUUAUCCGGAAUUAUUGGGCGUAAAGCGCGCGUAGGCGGUUUUUUAAGUCUGAUGUGAAAGCCCACGGCUCAACCGUGGAGGGUCAUUGGAAACUGGAAAACUUGAGUGCAGAAGAGGAAAGUGGAAUUCCAUGUGUAGCGGUGAAAUGCGCAGAGAUAUGGAGGAACACCAGUGGCGAAGGCGACUUUCUGGUCUGUAACUGACGCUGAUGUGCGAAAGCGUGGGGAUCAAACAGGAUUAGAUACCCUGGUAGUCCACGCCGUAAACGAUGAGUGCUAAGUGUUAGGGGGUUUCCGCCCCUUAGUGCUGCAGCUAACGCAUUAAGCACUCCGCCUGGGGAGUACGACCGCAAGGUUGAAACUCAAAGGAAUUGACGGGGACCCGCACAAGCGGUGGAGCAUGUGGUUUAAUUCGAAGCAACGCGAAGAACCUUACCAAAUCUUGACAUCCUUUGACAACUCUAGAGAUAGAGCCUUCCCCUUCGGGGGACAAAGUGACAGGUGGUGCAUGGUUGUCGUCAGCUCGUGUCGUGAGAUGUUGGGUUAAGUCCCG
RNAcentral lists this ribosomal RNA (1109 nucleotides) under Staphylococcus aureus. RNAcentral's name for it is "bacterial SSU rRNA". It matches the Rfam family "Bacterial small subunit ribosomal RNA", at positions 1 to 1089 of the family's 1533-position model. Lineage: Bacteria; Bacillati; Bacillota; Bacilli; Caryophanales; Staphylococcaceae. The record is from RNAcentral.